RNAcentral lists this ribosomal RNA (253 nucleotides) under uncultured Oscillospira sp. RNAcentral describes it as "partial 16S ribosomal RNA". It matches the Rfam family "Bacterial small subunit ribosomal RNA", at positions 524 to 776 of the family's 1533-position model. The record is from RNAcentral. Lineage: Bacteria; Bacillati; Bacillota; Clostridia; Eubacteriales; Oscillospiraceae.
UACGUAGGUGGCAAGCGUUAUCCGGAUUUACUGGGUGUAAAGGGCGUGUAGGCGGGAGUGCAAGUCAGAUGUGAAAACUAUGGGCUCAACCCAUAGCCUGCAUUUGAAACUGUACUUCUUGAGUGCUGGAGAGGCAAUCGGAAUUCCUAGUGUAGCGGUGAAAUGCGUAGAUAUUAGGAGGAACACCAGUGGCGGAGGCGGCUUACUGGACGGUAACUGACGCUGAGGCUCGAAAGCGUGGGGAGCAAACAGG